RNAcentral lists this ribosomal RNA (546 nucleotides) under uncultured bacterium. RNAcentral describes it as "bacterial SSU rRNA". It matches the Rfam family "Bacterial small subunit ribosomal RNA", at positions 355 to 895 of the family's 1533-position model. The record is from RNAcentral.
UGGGGAAUAUUGCGCAAUGGGGGGAACCCUGACGCAGCCAUGCCGCGUGAAUGAAGAAGGCCUUAGGGUUGUAAAGUUCUUUCGGUAUUGAGGAAGGUUGAUGUGUUAAUAGCACAUCAAAUUGACGUUAAAUACAGAAGAAGCACCGGCUAACUCCGUGCCAGCAGCCGCGGUAAUACGGAGGGUGCGAGCGUUAAUCGGAAUAACUGGGCGUAAAGGGCACGCAGGCGGUUAUUUAAGUGAGGUGUGAAAGCCCCGGGCUUAACCUGGGAAUUGCAUUUCAGACUGGGUAACUAGAGUACUUUAGGGAGGGGUAGAAUUCCACGUGUAGCGGUGAAAUGCGUAGAGAUGUGGAGGAAUACCGAAGGCGAAGGCAGCCCCUUGGGAAUGUACUGACGCUCAUGUGCGAAAGCGUGGGGAGCAAACAGGAUUAGAUACCCUAGUAGUCCACGCUGUAAACGCUGUCGAUUUGGGGGUUGGGGUUUAACUCUGGCGCCCGUAGCUAACGUGAUAAAUCGACCGCCUGGGGAGUACGGCCGCAAGGUU